RNAcentral lists this long non-coding RNA (1391 nucleotides) under Gossypium barbadense (sea-island cotton). Its description in RNAcentral is "long non-coding RNA (GBAR_LNC010973)". Lineage: Eukaryota; Viridiplantae; Streptophyta; Magnoliopsida; Malvales; Malvaceae. The record is from RNAcentral.
CGAUAGAUGUCCUCAAAGCUUCUCUAUAACUUAAUAAAGUAUUGAUAACUUCAUUUUAUAAUUGCAUACAAAUAAUUUACACAUUAUAUAUCCGAUAUAAAAUAAGUCAAAAUUUACAAAAAUUAAAGGCAAGGCUCAUUAGAAACUUUUGAAUCUGAAAAUGGGGUUGAAGACAACAACUGCGCUAUAGUAAAAAACAAAUUAUAAAUUGUUGACACAUCCUACACAUUAAUUGAUGUAAUGGGUCAAUUUAGCCUGAGCCCAAAACCAUAAGAUAAACAAAAAUAAAAUGUCCACUGUCCAAUUUACACAGCCCAAAAUCAUAACCCGAGCCCAACUACAUAAUACCCAACUAAAUUGGCCCGAAAAUUAAAAAAUAAGAAACCCUAGGGUUUGUUAAGGCGCGUCGCAGCCCCCAGCCUACAGCGCAACCUCCGAACGGCCUCCACGUCCGCGUACUAGCAUGCCACACUUGCAUCCAGCCUUAUACCUACAAGAAAAGGCCACACAACAGCAAGAAAUAGCAGCAAAAAAGAACAAAAAAAAACUGUAAUCACUCGGCUACAAAGCCAUAAACAUUUUUCAUUGUAAUUUUUUUAGAAGGAGACACAAAAAAAAAAUAGCAAUCGGAUAAAAAAAGAAUCAAGGUGGUCUUUCGUUCUGUUCUUUUAUUUCCUUUGCAAGUUUAUUUUCGAAUAAAGAACAUGCAUAUAUAGAUAUUCAAAGAAAAAAAGUUACCUUUCUGAGAUCGGAGAGGGGAACCAAGGGUUUGUUUGUUUUUUUUUACUUUUAAAAGGCUUUUUCUAGAAUUUUAGGUUUUAAAUCAGGGUUGGGGAGAACCAAACGGUCAAAAAGACCUCUUUUCGUAUUACUCCGACCACCAUAUACGGCGGCCACCAACGCUGGAGGCCAACAGCCAUGGUGGUUGGACGAUGACCAUAUUGGCCGGAGAAGAAGGGAGAAAGGAGAGAAAAGGGGAAAGCUUUUAGUUUUUUUUAGAGUUAGGGUUGAAAUGAGAGAUUGAAAAAAAAAUUUAGGUUUUUAUAACAACAAGAAAUGGCGUCGUUUUGAUUUAGCAUCCCAGGGGCUAAGCGGCGUCGUUUUGACGCGAAACGGGUCGACUUGAUCCAUUGCUCAGGGGAUCCACGUGUUUUCUCUAAUAAUGGGUUAUCUACAGCGUUGAUCCCUCUGUUUUUUCAAUCUUUUUCAACUUAGUCCAAUUCUAUUUUAUUUCUUUAAAAUUUUUUCCUUUAAUUUUAGUUCGUUUUCACUUUGGCCCUAAGACCGUUUGAAGAGGUCGACAUCUGAAAUGGUGUCGUUUGGGGAAUAGGGAUAAUUCCCUAAUCGGUCCCCGCCUUCGUUCGUGCAUCUAAUUUUGGUCCUAUUUUGUU